This 162-nucleotide ribosomal RNA is filed under the name uncultured bacterium. RNAcentral's name for it is "partial 16S ribosomal RNA". It matches the Rfam family "Bacterial small subunit ribosomal RNA", at positions 358 to 511 of the family's 1533-position model. The record is from RNAcentral.
GGAAUCUUCCACAAUGGGCGCGAAGCCUGAUGGAGCAACACCGCGUGAGUGAAGAAGGGUUUCGGCUCGUAAAGCUCUGUUGUUAAAGAAGAACACGUAUGAGAGUAACUGUUCAUACGUUGACGGUAUUUAACCAGAAAGUCACGGCUAACUACGUGCCAG